UACGUAGGUGGCAAGCGUUGUCCGGAUUUACUGGGCGUAAAGCGAGCGCAGGCGGACCGCUAAGUAAGAAGUGAAAGGUCGGAGCUCAACUCCAACAUUGCUUCUUAUACUGACGGUCUUGAGUCUUGGAGGGGAAAGCGGAACGACACGUGUAGCGGUGAAAUGCGUAGAGAUCGGGAGGAACACCAGAGGCGAAGGCGGCGACCUGGACAGGCACUGACACUCAACUACGAAAGCGUGGGGAGCAAACAGG
RNAcentral lists this ribosomal RNA (253 nucleotides) under uncultured bacterium. RNAcentral's name for it is "partial 16S ribosomal RNA". It matches the Rfam family "Bacterial small subunit ribosomal RNA", at positions 524 to 776 of the family's 1533-position model. The record is from RNAcentral.